RNAcentral lists this unclassified non-coding RNA (749 nucleotides) under Hevea brasiliensis (rubber tree). The record is from RNAcentral. Lineage: Eukaryota; Viridiplantae; Streptophyta; Magnoliopsida; Malpighiales; Euphorbiaceae.
AGGGAAAAAUAAAGCGAUUCCCAUAGCAGCGAUGAGCGAAAUGGGAGCAGCCUCUUAACUUAUAUCUACUUUAUAAAGAAUUUACUCCUUCGAGAAUUUUUUUUCUCCGCUAAGCAACUCUUUUCAAGGACAAUAAUCAAACCAAAUACAUUUACAAGCUUGACUUUGUGCUUGUAAACCAAAUAUAAGUGUUCCUACACUUAAAAUUUUUCUUAAAGUUUCCCUAAGUUGCUUGAUGAUCUUUAUGAUCACAAUAUAUAGCUUUACUUUGCUUUUUUAUAUAUGUCACUCUCAACUUAUGAAUACAAAUUCAAGAACUAUUAACAGUGAGAGAGGUGAUUUUCCUAAAAUGGGACAUAUAUUCCUUGAAACAAUCCCUUGAAAGCCACAAAAAUCAGUAAUGAUUAUUCCAUAUGUUGGACAUACCCACUUCAGAUAAGUAGCUCUCUGAACUUCCUUCUCCUAUGCUAGGAGAUCCAUGAAUGUUAGGAUUGCUUUCCAUCUUGUUAAGUUGAUUCAAAACAGCUUUGAUUACUGUCUUGUCACAAGAGACACUGUCUAAAUUAGGACAAGUACUACUAAUAGGUAUUUGUCCAAAUGCAGUUGAGGUCUUUGUGGGUAUUAUGUUGGAGUCCAUUUGAGAGAUGUGUGGGAAAAUUAGGUUGGGUUGGCUUGGAGAGAAAAUGGAGAAGCAGGGCACUUGGUCAUACUCAUCUAGGUAGGGUUGAGUUUGGUCAAAAGUGAUGUAA